AGCAGUGGGGAAUUUUCCGCAAUGGGCGAAAGCCUGACGGAGCAAUACCGCGUGAGGGAGGAAGGCUCCUGGGUUGUAAACCUCUUUUUUCAGGGAAGAACAAAAUGACGGUACCUGAGGAAUCAGCAUCGGCUAACUCCGUGCCAGCAGCCGCGGUAAUACGGAGGAUGCAAGCGUUAUCCGGAAUGAUUGGGCGUAAAGCGUCCGCAGGUGGCUGUGUAAGUCUGCUGUCAAAGAGCGAAGCUCAACUUCGUAAAGGCAGUGGAAACUACAUGGCUAGAGUGCGUUCGGGGCAGAGGGAAUUCCUGGUGUAGCGGUGAAAUGCGUAGAGAUCAGGAAGAACACCGGUGGCGAAG
RNAcentral lists this ribosomal RNA (356 nucleotides) under uncultured Nostoc sp. RNAcentral describes it as "bacterial SSU rRNA". It matches the Rfam family "Bacterial small subunit ribosomal RNA", at positions 350 to 720 of the family's 1533-position model. The record is from RNAcentral. Lineage: Bacteria; Bacillati; Cyanobacteriota; Cyanophyceae; Nostocales; Nostocaceae.